This 1543-nucleotide ribosomal RNA is filed under the name Escherichia coli. RNAcentral describes it as "bacterial SSU rRNA". It matches the Rfam family "Bacterial small subunit ribosomal RNA". The record is from RNAcentral. Lineage: Bacteria; Pseudomonadati; Pseudomonadota; Gammaproteobacteria; Enterobacterales; Enterobacteriaceae.
AAAUUGAAGAGUUUGAUCAUGGCUCAGAUUGAACGCUGGCGGCAGGCCUAACACAUGCAAGUCGAACGGUAACAGAAAGCAGCUUGCUGCUUUCGCUGACGAGUGGCGGACGGGUGAGUAAUGUCUGGGAAACUGCCUGAUGGAGGGGGAUAACUACUGGAAACGGUAGCUAAUACCGCAUAACGUCGCAAGACCAAAGAGGGGGACCUUCGGGCCUCUUGCCAUCGGAUGUGCCCAGAUGGGAUUAGCUUGUUGGUGGGGUAACGGCUCACCAAGGCGACGAUCCCUAGCUGGUCUGAGAGGAUGACCAGCCACACUGGAACUGAGACACGGUCCAGACUCCUACGGGAGGCAGCAGUGGGGAAUAUUGCACAAUGGGCGCAAGCCUGAUGCAGCCAUGCCGCGUGUAUGAAGAAGGCCUUCGGGUUGUAAAGUACUUUCAGCGGGGAGGAAGGGAGUAAAGUUAAUACCUUUGCUCAUUGACGUUACCCGCAGAAGAAGCACCGGCUAACUCCGUGCCAGCAGCCGCGGUAAUACGGAGGGUGCAAGCGUUAAUCGGAAUUACUGGGCGUAAAGCGCACGCAGGCGGUUUGUUAAGUCAGAUGUGAAAUCCCCGGGCUCAACCUGGGAACUGCAUCUGAUACUGGCAAGCUUGAGUCUCGUAGAGGGGGGUAGAAUUCCAGGUGUAGCGGUGAAAUGCGUAGAGAUCUGGAGGAAUACCGGUGGCGAAGGCGGCCCCCUGGACGAAGACUGACGCUCAGGUGCGAAAGCGUGGGGAGCAAACAGGAUUAGAUACCCUGGUAGUCCACGCCGUAAACGAUGUCGACUUGGAGGUUGUGCCCUUGAGGCGUGGCUUCCGGAGCUAACGCGUUAAGUCGACCGCCUGGGGAGUACGGCCGCAAGGUUAAAACUCAAAUGAAUUGACGGGGGCCCGCACAAGCGGUGGAGCAUGUGGUUUAAUUCGAUGCAACGCGAAGAACCUUACCUGGUCUUGACAUCCACAGAACUUUCCAGAGAUGGAUUGGUGCCUUCGGGAACUGUGAGACAGGUGCUGCAUGGCUGUCGUCAGCUCGUGUUGUGAAAUGUUGGGUUAAGUCCCGCAACGAGCGCAACCCUUAUCCUUUGUUGCCAGCGGUCCGGCCGGGAACUCAAAGGAGACUGCCAGUGAUAAACUGGAGGAAGGUGGGGAUGACGUCAAGUCAUCAUGGCCCUUACGACCAGGGCUACACACGUGCUACAAUGGCGCAUACAAAGAGAAGCGACCUCGCGAGAGCAAGCGGACCUCAUAAAGUGCGUCGUAGUCCGGAUUGGAGUCUGCAACUCGACUCCAUGAAGUCGGAAUCGCUAGUAAUCGUGGAUCAGAAUGCCACGGUGAAUACGUUCCCGGGCCUUGUACACACCGCCCGUCACACCAUGGGAGUGGGUUGCAAAAGAAGUAGGUAGCUUAACCUUCGGGAGGGCGCUUACCACUUUGUGAUUCAUGACUGGGGUGAAGUCGUAACAAGGUAACCGUAGGGGAACCUGCGGUUGGAUCACCUCCUUA